UACGUAGGGUGCAAGCGUUGUCCGGAAUUAUUGGGCGUAAAGAGCUCGUAGGCGGUUUGUCGCGUCUGCUGUGAAAACUCGGGGCUUAACCCCGGGCCUGCAGUGGGUACGGGCAGACUAGAGUGCGGUAGGGGAGACUGGAAUUCCUGGUGUAGCGGUGAAAUGCGCAGAUAUCAGGAGGAACACCAGUGGCGAAGGCGGUUGCCUGGAGCUUUGCUGACGCUGAGACGCGAAAGCGUGGGGAGCGAACAGG
RNAcentral lists this ribosomal RNA (253 nucleotides) under uncultured bacterium. Its description in RNAcentral is "partial 16S ribosomal RNA". It matches the Rfam family "Bacterial small subunit ribosomal RNA", at positions 524 to 776 of the family's 1533-position model. The record is from RNAcentral.